AGUGAACGCUGGCGGUAGGCCUAACACAUGCAAGUCGAACGGCAGCACAGUAAGAGCUUGCUCUUACGGGUGGCGAGUGGCGGACGGGUGAGGAAUACAUCGGAAUCUACUUUUUCGUGGGGGAUAACGUAGGGAAACUUACGCUAAUACCGCAUACGACCUACGGGUGAAAGCAGGGGAUCUUCGGACCUUGCGCGAUUGAAUGAGCCGAUGUCGGAUUAGCUAGUUGGCGGGGUAAAGGCCCACCAAGGCGACGAUCCGUAGCUGGUCUGAGAGGAUGAUCAGCGACACUGGAACUGAGACACGGUCCAGACUCCUACGGGAGGCAGCAGUGGGGAAUAUUGGACAAUGGGCGCAAGCCUGAUCCAGCCAUACCGAGUGGGUGAAGAAGGCCUUCGGGUUGUAAAGCCCUUUUGUUGGGAAAGAAAAGCAGCAGGUUAAUACCCCGCUGUUCUGACGGUACCCAAAGAAUAAGCACCGGCUAACUUCGUG
Molecule: ribosomal RNA, 492 nt
Filed under: uncultured bacterium
Lineage: Bacteria
Description: partial 16S ribosomal RNA
Rfam family: Bacterial small subunit ribosomal RNA
Source: RNAcentral